UUUUUUUUCCGGGAAAAAAAACAGAAAGGUAAUGAAACGACUUUUCUUUUUCGAUGGACUUCUAAUUCUCAGAUAUUUUUUCCUCUUCGCCGAACACUAUUUCAUGUCAAUCGAUCGAGGAAACUGGAGAAAUAUAUCUAUGGAAGAAGAUAUAAGAAAUCAGUUGGAUCUCUACUUCUGCAGUCUCUUCUGUGAUCAAGUUUCCUCUGACCAAAAGAUGAAAUCAGACAGUGGGAAUGCGGCUUAGUUAAAGCAGAUAUAGGUUCGAUUCCAUGUAAUGAAUCAAUUGAAGUUCGAUUUGAUAUACUGUUCGAAAGAAGAAUCAGAAAAAACAAAGUCACGGCAGGAGUAGACAGAGAAAUCUCUCUAUUUCUUACUUAGUGAGUGCAGGCACUCAUCAAUAAAGACAUGCUCGAGGAGUUUUGGAGAACAAAAAGACGUCAGCUGAACAAAAUUUAGACAAUGCACUGGCCAUCAAAGAGGAGCAAAACACGAUAACUAUUUAUGGAGGCUUGGAGAAGAAAAAGACGUGGGAAGGAAGUUGACCUCAAAAAGUUAAGGAUGCCGAUGUCUUGUGGUUUCGCGAUCCAUUUUUUCAGACGUAGAUAUUGAGAUCGCGUGUGACCAUUAAAAAGGAAGUUCCUCUAGCAAGAGCAAUCAAGUUUACAUUCUAUGGAUACUGGUGCGAGUAAGUCCAGAAGGAGAUGUAAAAAAGGAGAUGAUACUGUACAUCAUAUCGAAUGUUGUUCCUGUUUUACUCUGCAUUUUGAUGA
Raphanus sativus (radish) is the source of this 773-nucleotide long non-coding RNA. RefSeq lists it as uncharacterized. Lineage: Eukaryota; Viridiplantae; Streptophyta; Magnoliopsida; Brassicales; Brassicaceae. The record is from RefSeq and is a predicted model, not a curated record. The transcript is spliced from 7 exons.